ACCUAGGAUCGCAAGAAGCUGGAAUGGGAAGCAGAGCUAGGAAUUGAACCGGGGCACUCCACAAUAAGGGAUGUAGGCGUCCCAAGUGAGAUGGGAACUCCUGCGCCCAGUGCCCGCUCCCUCUGUGGUUUGUGUGAGCUGUGCACACGCAGCACCUUUAUUCCCCAGGUGUACUCUCAGCAGACUCAGUGCGUUUUCUGAAUGAGGGGUCAGGUCAGUCCUCAUUUCCAGGUGUCUUGUUGUUAAUCCUCACUUUCUCUGUGUUUUCUCCUACCCCCACCCGGCCCCCGAAAGGCAACCCUGCCUUCCAACAAAAAGCUCAAGCUUUCAUCAGACACAACGACUCACAAAGGUUUGUUUUCAGAUGAGGAGGACACUGAGGAUUUGUUUUCUUCUCAAAAUGCAAGCAGGUCAAAAGGUGCAUCUCUCCUGCCUAGCAAGCUGCCCACGUCAGUCUCCCUUUUCGAUGACAAAGAGGAAGAGGAUAACCUUUUUGGGGCUACAGCUGCUAAGAAGCCGACACCGUCUCUGCCAGUGCAGAGUGAGGAGAAGGCAGAGCCUCCAGCGCCCUCCACGAAGAAAGCACCCGCCUUACUGUUCAGCAGUGACG
This is a long non-coding RNA of Lepus europaeus (European hare), 610 nucleotides long. RefSeq lists it as uncharacterized. The transcript has 3 exons. The record is from RefSeq and is a predicted model, not a curated record. NCBI's taxonomy places the organism in Eukaryota, Metazoa, Chordata, Mammalia, Lagomorpha, Leporidae.